Long non-coding RNA from Haplochromis burtoni (Burton's mouthbrooder), 397 nucleotides. RefSeq lists it as uncharacterized. The transcript is spliced from 3 exons. Lineage: Eukaryota; Metazoa; Chordata; Actinopteri; Cichliformes; Cichlidae. The record is from RefSeq and is a predicted model, not a curated record.
UUAGAACUGAAGAAGCUUCUCGGAUGAGAGGUGAAACGUCUUCAAGUAACUUAAAGAAGUCCAGACGCUUUUCUUUGCAAGCUCCUUUGACUAUAAAGCCAUAUUUUAUUUUCUAUAUGGAUGUGCUAUUAUCCGUUAGUCUGUGCACUUGGACCUGGACUCUUCUUGGUCAUCAUCAUUAGGCAGAUAGUGGAGAUGAAGACACGUACCGUUUCCCGUCAGGUACCACUCGAAAAACUGAGCAAAGCUCUGAGGGGUCUCAAGGUCUGCAAAGCUGUUGCUGAAGUGAUAUCCUGGAGGCAUGAGAACCUGGGAGAGAUGUGAUGUGAAGAGCCGUGGAGAGGGGCGACGAGUGUAUGAACCCCAUCUGUACUCCAGCCAUGGCAUCUUCUGUGAG